Molecule: ribosomal RNA, 538 nt
Filed under: Clonostachys sp.
Lineage: Eukaryota; Fungi; Ascomycota; Sordariomycetes; Hypocreales; Bionectriaceae
Description: eukaryotic LSU rRNA
Rfam family: 5.8S ribosomal RNA (bases 192-345)
Source: RNAcentral
GGUCUCCGUUGGUGAACCAGCGGAGGGAUCAUUACCGAGUUUACAACUCCCAAACCCAUGUGAACAUACCUACUGUUGCUUCGGCGGGAUUGCCCCGGGCGCCUCGUGUGCCCCGGAUCAGGCGCCCGCCUAGGAAACUUAAUUCUUGUUUUAUUUUGGAAUCUUCUGAGUAGUUUUUACAAAUAAAUAAAAACUUUCAACAACGGAUCUCUUGGUUCUGGCAUCGAUGAAGAACGCAGCGAAAUGCGAUAAGUAAUGUGAAUUGCAGAAUUCAGUGAAUCAUCGAAUCUUUGAACGCACAUUGCGCCCGCCAGUAUUCUGGCGGGCAUGCCUGUCUGAGCGUCAUUUCAACCCUCAUGCCCCUAGGGCGUGGUGUUGGGGAUCGGCCAAAGCCCGCGAGGGACGGCCGGCCCCUAAAUCUAGUGGCGGACCCGUCGUGGCCUCCUCUGCGAAGUAGUGAUAUUCCGCAUCGGAGAGCGACGAGCCCCUGCCGUUAAACCCCCAACUUUCCAAGGUUGACCUCAGAUCAGGUAGGAAU